ACUGACCGUGACCUUGAGGACCACAGUAUAAAGCAGGCCACAUCUCACCGAGGUGUUGUUCCGUUACGGUCGUCCUGAAGUCAGCGGACAACUUUUUUUUUUGUUCGUUCCCUCGCCUCGUCUGUCUCGCUGGCGCGUCGGGUUGUUGCGCCGGAGAGGAGCGGCCGCCGCGUCGCGCUUUGACGUGAUGGAAUGCGGGGAGGCUGCAUCGUUCUUACCCAAGUCGGACCCGGGGACGUCACGCAAUGCGGCUUUUGACGAGCCUGGGGCCCCGAUGAAGCAUCCAUCGAGCUCACCGGGGACACGUUCAAAGAUGAGAGGGCUCCGUCAGUGAAGGAGUACAACGUGAUCGAAGAACGAGGCUUCAUGCUGCGCAACCUGCUGCUCCGCCUGGUUGAUUUAUGCUCAUCCUCGGCACCCCGGUGGACGAGAAGAACUGUCGGCAUGCGCAGUCAAGGCCUCAUACCUGAUGGUGUGUGCUGAAUGUGCUGAAGGGACACAACGUCUAACAGCUCAACAGCUCUGAGCAGCUGUGCAUCAACUUCCACCACAUGUUCAUCGUGGAGCAGAAGUACCAGAGGAAGGACAGCGAAUGGACUGUCAUCGACUUCGGGCUGGACUCUCAAGCCUACAUUUAUCUCCUUGUAAAGUUUCCCAGCACAAGAUCGGCGGCGAGGAGGAGAAGACGGCAGCCGCUCUCCAGGCCGCGUCCCAGCUUCACGAGGAAAACCUGAGCGAGCUGAUGACCGACCUACGCAGCUCCCGGCCUCACUCUGUUCGCUGCGUCAUCAGUGAUGAGAUCCGCGUGGCGAAUCCAAGUGCUAUCGCGUCCUGAUGGUUUUUGGACAGCAGGAAAGCUGUGCAGAAGCUGCUGUCCUCGUGGGGACCGACCACAGCCAGCAUGAGUCUGGACUCACAAAAAGUGAGGCUCUGAUGAUUAACGCCGUCGAGCCGACGCGCCCUGGAUGAAGCGCUUUCAGGAGCAGGACUCCGCAUCUUGCGGAUGCUGAGGAUCGCUGUAAGCUACUCAUCCAAACGAAGGUUGCCACGGAGGCCAAGGGGAAAGAGAUCGUGGCUAGAAGGACGAGGAGACGAUGACCAAGAAGCUAAAGCUGGAGGACAACGGUGCUGAGCUGAAGAGACAUUGAUGAUGUGGAGAUCACACUGGAUAAACGUGCCACUGAGAACAAGGAAGGACUGAAAUGAAUGCAAUCCGCUCCAGAAUAGGAGAUGAGCUAGCCAAGCUAAGUGGAGAAGCAGCGAUGCGAUGUGGCACGUGAGCUAGAAGCACUGAGCCCACUUUGGCUCAGACAAGAGAGAAGCAGAUCUACUGAAGCUGCUGCGAGACCAGCAGGAAACAGGUCCACCACGAGGCCGCUACGGCUACACGCUUGACAGUGUCAGAGCGACAUCAAGCGAGGUCAACUGUUGGUUGAUGAUCAGACCUCCAGGCAAGACCACUUCAGAGAAGAUGUCCAUCCUCCUGAUUGGUCUCCUAAGGCCAAAAAAGUCCUGGCACACACACUGCAAUCACCUCGAUAUAAAUGUCGUCUCCUGAAGGAGCAGGAAGCCUCAGCUGAGAUGGAGAGACGUUCCACGCCAACGCUCCUCAGUGGAGGACUAAGUAUGAAACUGAUGCCAUCCAGAGAAUUUAGGCCCUCUAUGAAGCCAAGGUGGAUGAGACGAGCUGAAGGUGCAGGUGCCAACGACCGAGUGGCGCACCAAUCUAUCAGACUGCUGAGGGGGAGGAGCGAAGCGCUCUGCUGAGGCAGAACGACCGUGCGUGCAAGCGAGCUGAGCUGCUUGAGGCCACAGACUCAACCUGUUGCUCUCAGGCAGUGAUGAUGGCAAAGGAGCUGAAGAAGGAGCAGGACACUAGUGCCCAUCUGGAGAGGAUGAUGAAGAAGAAGAACAAAGGUAAGGCCGAUGAGUGGACAAAGCGGAGCAGAUCGCCCUCAAGGGCGGCAGAAAGAAGGUCCAGAAGUUGGAGUUGAAUGAAUUGUUUAUAAUCUCUGUCAUGCAUGAAUAUUCCUCGUAUUAGUUUGUAACUUGAAAUGGCUUCUUCAGUUUUCUGGUCUGAAAGGUAAAAACUGGAGUAUGAGGAGAAUCAGGGAGCUCUCCUACCAGGUACAGCAGCAGGGUGGUCGCAUAGAAAUACAUGCUGUAGUGUCACAUAACAUGUCUUUAUAUGAGAUGCCCUUAUGCUCUCUAAAAGGUUAGGAACCAGUCCGCCUUCAGCUCAUGGACAAGCUGCAGACCAGGUUGAAGAGUUACAGGCUGAAGCAUCAGAGGAGCAGGCAAACACCAACCUCCAAAACCAGCAUGAUGAUGCACAGGGGGGCUCAUACGGCCGAAUCACAGGUCAACGACAUCCAGAUCCACACCCGGGACCGGGAAGAAGAGUAAACUGAAUGCAUGUCAUACUACAGUAUGCCGCCAAAUUGUGUGACCUUUUUAGAAGUAUUUGUUCAACGUAGCCAGCGGGCUGCAUAACGAGAACUAAUCUCAGGCGAGACCGGACGUAAUCCUCCGUUGAGGAUGAACUCCCAUCAUGUGAUCUCUAGCGCAGCCGGGAGUAACUGGGCGACACUGUGUAUGCGGUUGCUAAUAAACAGCCCUGUCUUGUGUAUUUCAGCAUGCUGAGUGACGGGAGGCGGAGAGCUACGGACAAACAUGUCACAGCAAGCCAGCUGCAACAGCUGUGCUCCACUGUGACAACACGGCCCAAAUAAAGACUUCAGAAAUGUA
Non-coding RNA from Gasterosteus aculeatus aculeatus (three-spined stickleback), 2748 nucleotides. The record is from RefSeq and is a predicted model, not a curated record. NCBI's taxonomy places the organism in Eukaryota, Metazoa, Chordata, Actinopteri, Perciformes, Gasterosteidae.